UUAAUACUCCCUCCGUUCGGAAAUACUUGUCCCAGAAAUAAAUAAAAUGAAUGUAUCUAUAAUUAAAAUAAAUCUAGAUACAACCAUUUUGAGGACAAGUAUUUCCGGACAAAGGGAAUAUUAG
This is a non-coding RNA of Triticum aestivum (bread wheat), 124 nucleotides long. The record is from Rfam. NCBI's taxonomy places the organism in Eukaryota, Viridiplantae, Streptophyta, Magnoliopsida, Poales, Poaceae.